GGAGAACAUCAAACUGCAUUAAGAAUAAAAGUAGUAUAAAAACACAGAAGUGGAUUUAUAAAGAAACAGGAGUCAUUAAUUACAGCUUAAUGGUAGCGACUCAUGUAAUUAAUGAUUAUUUGUCCCUGAGGUCAUGGGUUCGAGUCGCGGGAGGCUCAUCUUUGUGGGGAAUAAAAUACAGGGGGUAUUUAAGCUAGUGGAUGGCAUGUGUAGUGUCGUCAUGGGCCGGGGAGGUCGCAUGACAUUUCUGCGUUGUUACCGGUGACAUGCUCAGUGUCGUCAUGGACCGGGGAGGUCGCAUGACAUUACUGGGUGUUACACAUGGCAUGGGAUUCACAGAGAGUACAUGUCAUAACAUCACCGCUGCUUAAAUUGUAGACAUGAUUACAUGCCUUAAAUUGUAGAUCAUUGUGGAACACAUUGAAAUUAUGCAUGACAUAGGUAUGAUUUUCAACCAAAUGAUCCUUCCAUUGAUUGAAUUCUUCCUUUUUCAUGGAAACUUGGAUCUUGUCUACCUAAAAACAGAGAUAGUUAGUAAUUGAAAUUGUAAGAAAUAAAUAUUUUUCUGUGUAAUAUUAUCUUACAGUCCAUUAAUAUCAUUUCUAAAUGUCUGGAUUUAGGUGGAAGCUGAAAUACCAAAUUCAUGUAAUUCUAACAACUAUCUUCUACAGGUGUUUUGAGUCAUUCAAAUACCUUAACAGCUCGAACGGACGUGAUAUUGACAUUAACAUAGCAAAUACUAACUUAUGAAAACAUUAAGCCACCACAAACAAAAACAUUUAGCCACACAAAAACUAACAACAACAAUUAAGUAAAACAGAUUGAAAACAUGACUCUCAAUUCAUGAAAGAAUGAAAAUCUAGUACGAUAAAAAUUGUUAAGGUCAUUUUUUGUAGAGGUGAGCUAAUAAGUACGCUAUCACAUAUUAUGUAUGAUCUUAUUUGUUAUUGAAGAUAUGACUCUCAGCAUAAUACUCAACUAUUUAUAAACUGGAAAUUAGAGAAGCUCAGUUUUGAAAAGAAUAGUAAAAAAAAGGUUCAAUUGAUUUUUAACUAAUGCUUUAGAAAAUGUAUAUUAAAACAGAGAAGAUAGUAAUAACAGUAGCCAAGAAGAGUAAACUAUUUACAAUCUGGAGAAUCAAGAAGCAAUAAUUGAAGAGAGUACUCAAUUAUUAUAUUCAAUUAUAUUACCUAAUACUUUAGACACUGUCUAUUAGGCAUAGACAUUGCAUCUUUAUAAAAAAAUGGUAGUUAAUUAACUUAGAAAUAUAUUGUUAGUAAGCCUCUUUAAAUAAAAGAAACAUAAUUAACUUAGAAUAUACAAAAUAAUGAUAACCAACCAACAAUGGACAUGCUAAGAGUAAAAUUCGUCAAUUAACUACAACAUACUUGAUAGAUAUAAGGUAGUUACAGUAGAUAAAAGAACAAAUUUUUUUUAAAAUAUAAUGCAGUAAAAGUGACAAUUGAUAAUAAGUCAUUACAAAUUCAAUUUUUUAAUUUCAGAAACAGUUUCAUAGAGGUGAGUUACAAAUCCAUGUAAAUAUAUAUUCAAUAUCUCAUCUUCAAAAAAAUAAAUAUGACCAAUGACCUUCGAAAGGUUCAAUGCAGAAAUAUAUAUUCAAUAUCUCAUCUUCAAAGAAUUAAAUAUGAGGGACAACUAAAAUUUAUAUUCAACAAAUAUAUAUUCAAAACCAAGAAGCCUUAAAAUGAUGUGUACGUAUCAUCACUGCUGGAAAAGAAAGAAGAUGACAAAAGUCAUCUUAAAAUGACCUUCAAGGACCAAUACAUGUAACAAAUAUAUAUUCAAUAUCUCAUCUUUAAAGAAAUAAAUAUGAGGAACAACUAAAAAAAGUCAUCAAACAAUGACCUUAAAAAAACAAAUAAUAUAUAUUGAAGCCCAAAAAAUAUAAAAAGACAAAUAUCAGAAAUAUAACAAAUAAAUAAUAAAGCUCAAAAACACCAAAAAUAAACAAAUAUCAGAAAUAUAACAAAUAACUAAUGAAGCCCAAAAACACAGAAAUAAACAAAUAUAUAUAUAGCAAAUAUAUAACAAAUAUAUAUAUAUAUAUAUAUAUAUAUAUAUAUAUCAAAUAUAUAAUAAAUAUCAUAAAUAUAUAUAUUGACCUUAGGAAAAACAAAUCAACAGUAUACAUUGAAGCCUAAAAACAUAUAAAAGACAAAUAACAGAAAUAUAGCAAAUAUAUAUUAAACGCCAAAAAGUCUUAAAGUUAACAUUUUUAAGGCCAACAAUAGUAUCAUCAAUGCUACAAAAGGAAGAAGAUGACAAAAGUCAGGUUACAAUAAAAGUAUCAUCACUUCUGGAAAAGGAAAAAACAAAUAUACUUUCAUGAAACAAAUAUUCAAGAUCACAAAAAAACAAGAAACAAACAAACAAACAUAAUGAUGCACAAAACAAACGCAUGUUCAAAAAGUUAAAGUUAACAUUUUUAACAAAAAAUUUAAAUGUAGAGCGGGUCUGAAAACGUAAGAUGAAGAUCCAAAAAAAACAGGAAGAACUUUAAAUCUGGAAUGCAUGCAUGUUCAUCAAAGGUAAAAUAAACGCACGUUCAAAAAGUAACAUAAUGAUGUACAAAACAAAGACAUGUUCAAAAAGUUAAAGUUAACAUUUUUAACAAAAAAAAAAUGAAUGUAGAGCGGAUCUGAAAACGUAAAAUGAAGAUCCACAAAAAGAAAGGAAGAACUUCGGAUCUGGAACGCAUGUUGAUCGAAGGUAAAAUAACGCAAGUAACAUAACGAUACACAAAAUAAGGGAGAACUUCGGAUCUGGAAAAUGGAAAAAGUAAGAUGAUGAUACAUAAAAAUGAAAAAAGAAGAACUUUGGAUCUGGAAUGCAUGUUCAUGAGAGGUAAACCCUUUGCAAACAUAACAUUGGUGUUUCAAAGGUAAAACGUUUGAAAUAAGAAAUGUAAGUAUAAAACUCAGUUACCUUAAGUAGAGUAGUGAAGAUGUAUAGGAAUGUAUAUAGUAGUUAAAGACAUGUGGUUCGGAGAGGAGGAAGAUGAAGAAACGAAUACCCUUGGAAGUAGUAAGCCUGGAGAGAGAAGCAUAAGAAAUGAAUGGCCUUGACAGCAGAUUGGAAGAAAAGAAGGUAAUGUGGCAGACUUGAUUAAUAACACUGCAAAACCACAUGACGUGUUGAAGACACACACAAAUUUCAAAUCUGCUUUAAAUGUGUG
This 3196-nucleotide long non-coding RNA is filed under the name Lupinus angustifolius (narrow-leaved blue lupine). Its description in RNAcentral is "long non-coding RNA (LANG_LNC002455)". The record is from RNAcentral. Lineage: Eukaryota; Viridiplantae; Streptophyta; Magnoliopsida; Fabales; Fabaceae.